ACCUCCCUGAAGAAUGUAACUGGCUUCUGACCAAGAGACUGGGGAUUCCCAAUGUUGCAGUAUAGGAUCUGCAAGGGGAAAACAGAAUGAGAAAAUAAUCUACCAGGAAAAGCUCCUUUAUAUACCUGAGCAUGGAUCACAAUCUCUCCACGCACUGCAUACUCACAAUUCAAAACCU
RNAcentral lists this small RNA (178 nucleotides) under Oryza sativa Japonica Group (Japanese rice). RNAcentral describes it as "sRNA Os10g0390550". The record is from RNAcentral. Lineage: Eukaryota; Viridiplantae; Streptophyta; Magnoliopsida; Poales; Poaceae.